This is a non-coding RNA of Acanthosepion pharaonis, 113 nucleotides long. The record is from the annotation of a GenBank genome assembly. NCBI's taxonomy places the organism in Eukaryota, Metazoa, Mollusca, Cephalopoda, Sepiida, Sepiidae.
UACGGCAAUAUCACAUGGAAAUACCAGCUCUCGUAUGAUCAUCGAAGUUAAACAACGUCGAACCUAGUCAGUACCUAGAUGAGUAACCGCUUCGGAAUAACAAGUGCUGUAAG